RNAcentral lists this ribosomal RNA (250 nucleotides) under uncultured bacterium. Its description in RNAcentral is "partial 16S ribosomal RNA". It matches the Rfam family "Bacterial small subunit ribosomal RNA", at positions 524 to 773 of the family's 1533-position model. The record is from RNAcentral.
UACGGAGGGUGCGAGCGUUAAUCGGAAUUACUGGGCGUAAAGCGCGCGUAGGCGGUUUGAUAAGUCUGAUGUGAAAGCCCUGGGCUUAACCUGGGAACGGCAUUGGAUACUGUCCGACUGGAGUGUGGUAGAGGGGUGUGGAAUUUCCGGUGUAGCAGUGAAAUGCGUAGAGAUCGGAGGGAACACCAGUGGCGAAGGCGACUUCCUGGACUGUAACUGACACUGAGGCAUGAAAGCGUGGGGAGCAAAC